Molecule: ribosomal RNA, 664 nt
Filed under: uncultured bacterium
Lineage: Bacteria
Description: bacterial SSU rRNA
Rfam family: Bacterial small subunit ribosomal RNA
Source: RNAcentral
AGAGUUUGAUCCUGGCUCACCGAUGAACGCUAGCGGGAGGCUUAACACAUGCAAGUCGAGGGGUAUAGUAGCAAUACUAGAGACCGGCGCACGGGUGAGUAACGCGUAUGUAACCUGCCCUUUACAGGAGGAUAGCCCGUCGAAAGGCGGAUUAAUACUCCAUAAUCUGGUGCCUUUGCAUGAAGGGACCAGUAAAGCUGCGGCGGUAAAGGAUGGGCAUGCGUGACAUUAGCUAGUUGGUAGGGUAACGGCCUACCAAGGCUACGAUGUCUAGGGGUUCUGAGAGGAAGGUCCCCCACACUGGUACUGAGACACGGACCAGACUCCUACGGGAGGCAGCAGUGAGGAAUAUUGGUCAAUGGGCGCGAGCCUGAACCAGCCAUCCCGCGUGCAGGAAGACGGCCCUAUGGGUUGUAAACUGCUUUUGUGCAGGAAGAACGCUCGAUACGUGUAUUGAGGUGACGGUACUGCAUGAAUAAGCACCGGCUAACUCCGUGCCAGCAGCCGCGGUAAUACGGAGGGUGCAAGCGUUAUCCGGAUUUUAUUGGCUUUACAGGGUGCGUAGGCGGUAGUAUAAAGUCAGCGGUGAAAAUCUGCAGCUCAACCUGUAGACCCUGCCAUUGAAACUGUAUUACUUGAGUAACCAUGAGGGAGGGCCGAAUGC